AGUCAUUGAAGCAAUUGCAAUUUUUCACAACAUCGAAAAGAGUCAAAUAAGAGCUUGUAAAGCAAAUCCACAUACUCAAUCAUCCUUUUGUCUUCUACAAAUGCUACAACUCACGUGGUACUCAUGAGAUCAAAGUCUCAGUCGGACAUAGAGAAAGAUAAGGGCUUAUAGUUUCGCCUCCCAACUGCUUACCUCAAGGGUAAUGUCAACAAUAGUAAUUCAUGAAUACUUACUUCCAAAUUGACAUAUGAAUAUAGAUAUUUCCCUAGCAUAUGACGUUAGCCAA
This 286-nucleotide long non-coding RNA is filed under the name Hordeum vulgare. RNAcentral's name for it is "long non-coding RNA (HVUL_LNC004913)". The record is from RNAcentral. Lineage: Eukaryota; Viridiplantae; Streptophyta; Magnoliopsida; Poales; Poaceae.